RNAcentral lists this non-coding RNA (103 nucleotides) under Clostridiales bacterium S5-A14a. RNAcentral describes it as "THF (Tetrahydrofolate) riboswitch aptamer". It matches the Rfam family "THF (Tetrahydrofolate) riboswitch aptamer". Rfam says of the family: THF riboswitch presents a pseudoknot that joins P1-P2 and the loop of P3 and two THF binding. The record is from Rfam by way of RNAcentral. Lineage: Bacteria; Bacillati; Bacillota; Clostridia; Peptostreptococcales; Anaerovoracaceae. RNAcentral also lists the same sequence under 1 other name.
GGUAGAGUAAAUAUUGUGCGUUAAGUGUUAUGGGAUGGGAUGUUGCCCAUAGACGAAGGCGUGUCCGACAAAAGCAGCUACUUUGCGAUUGCAAGCGUUUGCC